UACGUAGGGGGCGAGCGUUGUCCGGAAUCAUUGGGCGUAAAGCGCGUGUAGGCGGCCCGGUAAGUCCGCUGUGAAAGUCCAGGGCUCAACCCUGGGAUGCCGGUGGAUACUGUCGGGCUCGAGUCCGGAAGAGGCGAGUGGAAUUCCUGGUGUAGCGGUGAAAUGCGCAGAUAUCAGGAGGAACACCGGUGGCGAAGGCGGGUCUCUGGACAGUUCCUGACGCUGAGGCACGAAGGUCAGGGGAGCAAACGGG
RNAcentral lists this ribosomal RNA (253 nucleotides) under uncultured bacterium. RNAcentral describes it as "partial 16S ribosomal RNA". It matches the Rfam family "Bacterial small subunit ribosomal RNA", at positions 524 to 776 of the family's 1533-position model. The record is from RNAcentral.